RNAcentral lists this long non-coding RNA (598 nucleotides) under Salmo salar (Atlantic salmon). RNAcentral describes it as "lncRNA (ENSSSAG00000085813.1)". The record is from RNAcentral. Lineage: Eukaryota; Metazoa; Chordata; Actinopteri; Salmoniformes; Salmonidae.
CCCUCCUCUCUUCCUCCCUCCCUCCUAGAGUAGAGCCCUCCUCUCUUCCUCCCUCCCUCCUAGAGGAGAGCCCUCCUUUCUUCCUCCCUCCCUCCUAGAGUAGAGCCCUAGUGUUUAUACUGAGGUAUCCUCUUCUAUUUCCAGUUGAAUCAAAACCAGACCAUCUAGUAGUCACACCUGUAGGCUGCCUCUCUCUCCCUGUGGCAUAGCUCUCUCCCUCUCCCUGUGGCAUAGCUCUCUCCCUGUGGCAUAGCUAUUUCCCUGUGGCAUAGCUCUCUCCCUGUGGCAUAGCUCACUCCCUGUGGCAUAGCUCUCUCUCUCACUCCCUGUGGCACAGCUAGGUCUCUCUCCCUCUCCCUGUGGCACAGCUAGGUCUCUCUCUCCCUCUCCCUGUGGCACAGCUAGGUCUCUCUCUCCCUCUCCCUGUGGCACAGCUAGGUCUCUCUCUCCCUCUCCCUGUGGCACAGCUAGGUCUCUCUCUCCCUGUGGCACAGCUAGGUCUCUCUCUCCCUCUCCCUGUGGCACAGCUAGGUCUCUCUCUCCCUCUCCCUGUGGCACAGCUAGGUCUCUCUCUCCCUCUCCCUGUGGCACAGCUAGG